Molecule: long non-coding RNA, 628 nt
Organism: Capra hircus (goat)
Lineage: Eukaryota; Metazoa; Chordata; Mammalia; Artiodactyla; Bovidae
Exons: 3
Source: RefSeq, a predicted model, not a curated record
GUGACACGCCGAGGGGGCUUUAAUGUCCGUCACUCCAAAUCUUUGUUGUGACGAGACAAAGAACCGAGGAACAUACACUCGCGUGACAUCUAGGGUGCCGUGACUCGGAUGUAACCUGGCUGAAACAACCUCCGCGUGGAAGAGGCCAAGCACAGCAGGAGCCCAACUCAGCAAAGCUCCCGCACUAGAAGCAAAAGGUGAAGAGACCCAGCGCAGGGGAACGCCCAUCGUGCUGGAAACCGGGACAGCGGAAAGCCCACGCGGCCCAGUCUCAGAUCCCAGAAGACCUCCGGUUAAGAAACCCUGGACCAAUGGACAAAACCCCGAGAAGGAUUGUCAGAAGAUCCUCUGACCAACCCUGAGGAAAUCUGGUACACUGAUGGAAGCCGCUUUGUCUUGGAUGGAGAAAGAAGAGCCGGGUCAACAAACUACAAAAUGCAGUGCCAUUUCAACAAAGAUAUAAAACUACAGCCGACCACGAAAAAUAUCACACACCCUUAGAUGGGCACCGCUAUAAGGACUCCGAGGCUUGAGAUUAGCAAGAGGGGGAGGCCCAAUACCCCUCGCCAUCCCAGUUCAGCAGAAAGUAGCCAGAAAGACCUCAACACCCCUAUUCCCAAAGAAUUGG